RNAcentral lists this ribosomal RNA (497 nucleotides) under uncultured bacterium. RNAcentral's name for it is "partial 16S ribosomal RNA". It matches the Rfam family "Bacterial small subunit ribosomal RNA", at positions 28 to 507 of the family's 1533-position model. The record is from RNAcentral.
GACGAACGCUGGCGGCGUGCUUAACACAUGCAAGUCGAGCGAACAGACGCUGAUUUUGUUGGGCGCACGUUAGGCGCAGGGGUGUGUGACACACGUGUAUAACCCACUUAUCUUUCGGGUAUAUUCAGGGGAAUCCGGAUCAUACACGAGAGAAGAUCCUGCUCCACAGGGGGGAAUGGAGAGUGACGGCGGUUGUGUCACGACUAGAGGCUUCUGCGCUGCAUUAGCUAGUUGGUGAGGUAACGGCUUAUCAAGGCUACGAUGCGUAGCCGAACUGAGAGGGUGGUAGGCCACACUGGAACUGAGACACGGUCCAGACUCCUACGGGAGGCAGCAGUAGGGAAUCUUCCGCAAUGGGCGAAAGCUUGACGGAGCAACGCCGCGUGAGUGAUGAAGGUCUUCGGAUCGUAAAACUCUGUUAUUAGGGAAGAACAAAUGUGUAAGUAACUAUGCACGUCUUGACGGUACCUAAUCAGAAAGCCACGGCUAACUACGUG